GUGGUCGAAGGAGCUCCGCCUCAGGUACGUGCCAGCGGCCGCGGUACACGUAGGGUGCGAGCGGUCUCCGGAAAUUUACUGGGUGUAAAGAGCGGGAAGGUGGUUUGUCGCGUCGUCUGUGAAAUUCCAGGGGCUUAACUCCGGGCGUGCAGGCGAUACGGGCAUAACUUGAGUGCUGUAGGGGAGACUGGAAUUUCUGGAGUAGCGGUGAAUUGCGCAGAUAUCAGGAGGAACACCGAUGGCGAAGGCAGGUCUCUGGGCAGUAACUGACGAUGAGGAGCGAAAGCAUGGGUAGCGAACAGGAUUAGAUACCCUGGUAGUCCAUGCCGUAAAAGGUGGGCGCUAGGUGUGGGGGUCUUCCACGACUUCUGUGCCGUAAUUGACGCAUCAAGCGCCCCGCCUGGGGAGUACGGCCGCAAGGCUAAAACUCAAAGGAAUUGACGGGGGCAUCCACUAGCGGCGGAGCAUGUGGAUUAAUUCGAUGCAACGCGAAGAACCUUACCUGGGCUUGGCAUAUGCCGGAUCGGCGCAGAGAUGCGUUUUCCCUUGUGGUCGGUAAUGGGGUGGUGCAUUGUUGUCGUCAGCUCGUGUCGUGAGAUGUUGGGUUAAGUCCCGCAGCGAGCGCUACCCGUGUCUUGUGUUGCCAGCACGUUAUGGUGGGGACUCGCGAGAGACUGCCAACCUUAACUCGGAGGAAGGUGGGGAUGACGUCAAAUCAACAUGCCCCUUAUGUCCAGGGCUUCACACAUGCUACAAUGGUCGGUACAGUGGGUUGCUACACCGUGAGGUGGUGCUAAUCUCUUAGGGCCGGUCUCAGUUCGGAUUGGAGUCUGCAACUCGACUCCAUGAAGUCGGUGAAUACGUUCCCGGGCCCUGUACACACCGC
RNAcentral lists this ribosomal RNA (886 nucleotides) under Corynebacterium sp. K37. Its description in RNAcentral is "bacterial SSU rRNA". It matches the Rfam family "Bacterial small subunit ribosomal RNA", at positions 478 to 1393 of the family's 1533-position model. The record is from RNAcentral. Lineage: Bacteria; Bacillati; Actinomycetota; Actinomycetes; Mycobacteriales; Corynebacteriaceae.